CCAAUAGCGUAUAUUAAAGUUGUUGCAGUUAAAAAGCUCGUAGUUGAAUUUCGGGAUCAUCAGGUUGGUCGUGCCUAUGGUAUGUACUGAUUUCGAUGGUCCCUCCUUCUUGAAGAGCCGUAAUGCCAUUAAUUUGGUGUUGCGGGGAAUCAGGACUGUUACUUUGAAAAAAUUAGAGUGUUUAAAGCAGGCAAUCGCUUGAAUACAUUAGCAUGGAAUAAUGAAAUAGGACGUUCGAUCCUAUUUUGUUGGUUUCUAGGAUUGACGUAAUGAUUAAUAGGGAUAGUUGGGGGCAUUAGUAUUCAAUUGUCAGAGGUGAAAUUCUUGGAUUUAUUGAAGACUAACUACUGCGAAAGCAUUUGCCAAGGAUGUUUUCAUUAAUCAAGAACGAAAGUUAGGGGAUCGAAGACGAUCAGAUACCGUCGUAGUCUUAACCAUAAACUAUGCCGACUAGGGAUCGGAUGAUGUUAAUUUUUUAAUGACUCAUUCGGCGCCUUACG
This 500-nucleotide ribosomal RNA is filed under the name uncultured Glomeromycotina. Its description in RNAcentral is "partial small subunit ribosomal RNA". It matches the Rfam family "Eukaryotic small subunit ribosomal RNA", at positions 591 to 1092 of the family's 1831-position model. The record is from RNAcentral. Lineage: Eukaryota; Fungi; Glomeromycota.